AAAUUGAAGAGUUUGAUCAUGGCUCAGAUUGAACGCUGGCGGCAGGCCUAACACAUGCAAGUCGAACGGUAACAGGAAGCAGCUUGCUGCUUUGCUGACGAGUGGCGGACGGGUGAGUAAUGUCUGGGAAACUGCCUGAUGGAGGGGGAUAACUACUGGAAACGGUGGCUAAUACCGCAUAACGUCGCAAGACCAAAGAGGGGGACCUUCGGGCCUCUUGCCAUCAGAUGUGCCCAGAUGGGAUUAGCUUGUUGGUGAGGUAACGGCUCACCAAGGCGACGAUCCCUAGCUGGUCUGAGAGGAUGACCAGCCACACUGGAACUGAGACACGGUCCAGACUCCUACGGGAGGCAGCAGUGGGGAAUAUUGCACAAUGGGCGCAAGCCUGAUGCAGCCAUGCCGCGUGUAUGAAGAAGGCCUUCGGGUUGUAAAGUACUUUCAGCGGGGAGGAAGGUGUUGUGGUUAAUAACCGCAGCAAUUGACGUUACCCGCAGAAGAAGCACCGGCUAACUCCGUGCCAGCAGCCGCGGUAAUACGGAGGGUGCAAGCGUUAAUCGGAAUUACUGGGCGUAAAGCGCACGCAGGCGGUCUGUCAAGUCGGAUGUGAAAUCCCCGGGCUCAACCUGGGAACUGCAUUCGAAACUGGCAGGCUUGAGUCUUGUAGAGGGGGGUAGAAUUCCAGGUGUAGCGGUGAAAUGCGUAGAGAUCUGGAGGAAUACCGGUGGCGAAGGCGGCCCCCUGGACAAAGACUGACGCUCAGGUGCGAAAGCGUGGGGAGCAAACAGGAUUAGAUACCCUGGUAGUCCACGCCGUAAACGAUGUCUACUUGGAGGUUGUGCCCUUGAGGCGUGGCUUCCGGAGCUAACGCGUUAAGUAGACCGCCUGGGGAGUACGGCCGCAAGGUUAAAACUCAAAUGAAUUGACGGGGGCCCGCACAAGCGGUGGAGCAUGUGGUUUAAUUCGAUGCAACGCGAAGAACCUUACCUGGUCUUGACAUCCACAGAACUUUCCAGAGAUGGAUUGGUGCCUUCGGGAACUGUGAGACAGGUGCUGCAUGGCUGUCGUCAGCUCGUGUUGUGAAAUGUUGGGUUAAGUCCCGCAACGAGCGCAACCCUUAUCCUUUGUUGCCAGCGAUUAGGUCGGGAACUCAAAGGAGACUGCCAGUGAUAAACUGGAG
This 1177-nucleotide ribosomal RNA is filed under the name Salmonella enterica subsp. enterica serovar Typhimurium. RNAcentral's name for it is "bacterial SSU rRNA". It matches the Rfam family "Bacterial small subunit ribosomal RNA", at positions 1 to 1168 of the family's 1533-position model. The record is from RNAcentral. RNAcentral also lists the same sequence under 1 other name. Lineage: Bacteria; Pseudomonadati; Pseudomonadota; Gammaproteobacteria; Enterobacterales; Enterobacteriaceae.